Lycium barbarum (goji berry) is the source of this 409-nucleotide long non-coding RNA. RefSeq lists it as uncharacterized. The record is from RefSeq and is a predicted model, not a curated record. NCBI's taxonomy places the organism in Eukaryota, Viridiplantae, Streptophyta, Magnoliopsida, Solanales, Solanaceae. The transcript has 3 exons.
AGGGCUCGGGUUUGGCUUGGAAAAAUCACCCCCAAAAAUAUUGCUCCUAAAAUUUUUCUCUUGGUGAAUUUCUACUAAGUUGAGGUCCCUUUAUAACUUGGUGUAGUUGCUUUGGAAGAAAGAACACUUGGUGCCUCAAUUUGAUCACUUAUUCAAGUGAAGAAGACUAGAAAAUAAGAUUUUCGACGAAACGGAGAGUGAGCUCGGAUAGGCUUAAAAAGCUCAAAAGGUACCGACGACAGGUUUGCUGAUCCGUCCGCUUAGGAUCUCAUUCUGCUAUUUUUGGAGCGCUCUUUUAUUCAGAGCCAUCUUUUGGUAUAGUCUGUCACUUCUAUAUAUGUAUAUCCUCGUUCAUGGGUACGGCGGGGCCCUGUCCCGUCAUAUGAUUCUGUCGGUCUGUUAGAGGUCU